RNAcentral lists this long non-coding RNA (1676 nucleotides) under Canis lupus familiaris (dog). RNAcentral's name for it is "lncRNA (ENSCAFG00040006882.1)". The record is from RNAcentral. Lineage: Eukaryota; Metazoa; Chordata; Mammalia; Carnivora; Canidae.
AUGGAAAUCGAAUCAACCUUAUUUUGCACAAAAUCUUUAAAAAUAGCACGUACCGUGGGGGGUCCAGUGUUAAUCAGCGCUGAAGGGGGCAGGAGGCAGCUGGAGGUAGGGAGAGCAUCUUCCCUUCCUUCCCGGGAGCCCAGGGGUCCCUGCAGGGCCUGCGCCCCCACCCCGGGCCACCCCGCGGUCGGAGGACGAGGUGCCGCAGGAACCUCUUGCUUUUUCACUGGGGAAUCUGUAAGGAGGAGAGCAGGGCUGCCCCCCCAACGUGUCAGCAGGGCACCGUGUCCAAGCGCAGAAUCGCCCGCGGGGCCCCCACGGGGACGGGGCACGCGUCCUUCCCGACGGUUCUAUCUCAAAGCAACGGCCCUGGGGUCCUUGGGAAGACGCACCCACUUGUGCGAGGUGCGCAGACGUCCCCGGGGGCAGGAAGCGUUCACGGUUCUGAGUCCUUUUCCGUCCAGGCUCCAAGCUGGGCCAGGUGUUGGCCGAGCGGAGAAUUGUCCUGGCAGCUCCACGUUCUCAGGGGUCUCCGGGGCCUGGGGCUGUCCCGGGGCUCGCGGCUGAGGGGGCCUCCAUCCGGGGUCCCGGGGCCCUGGGUUUGGGUGGAGUCCUCGCCUGCCCGGGGCUCCGCAGCGCUCUGGCUGACUGCGCCGUGAGACGCAAACCCAAACCCUCCCGGGUCCCUGCAGUGGGGCCGUAACCCGCGUGGUGCCCCUGAAGACGCAUCCUCCGGCCCCGCCCUCGAGCGCGCCAACACUCUAAAAUCUGAGCGGUGAUGAGGGAGCUGGGCUCACGCUCACAAACGACCCAAGAGAAAAAUGCUUUGACGUAUCAGAAUACACGGCGUGCCCGUCGCCACCGUCUGGGGGUCCGACGAUGCAAUAGCAUGACCCGGGGGGCUGCUUCCUCCCGGGCUCAGGCCGCGGGCGUCCGGGGGGUGCGGGAGGGUCGGGCCCAGGGCUGAGUGUCCGUUGUGUGUGUGCGUGUGCAAGUCCCGCAGACAGAGGCCCUUUCUCUCUGCCGACCUGGCCCUCGAUCUCCUCCUGGUCCCCCCUCGGCGGGACGGCGUCCAGGAGGGGACGGGAAGACGCGGCGCUGCAGGAGGUUGAGCCUCGCACAGCAAGGCCUGUCGAUCCUCCCGAUUCUGCUCACAGGACUCGUCUCUGCUGCGAGCUUUGCAAGAGGUCAGGGCACAGCGGCUUGUGACCGGAGACACGGACGUCUUUGGUUCCCGGGCCCGGCCCUGUGUGUCUCCCUCUGUCUCGCUGCCUAGUGACUGCCCCGUGUUUGGCGCCGUUCAGGGGCCCCGUGCCUGGGUUCAGGCCUCAGAGACUCAGGCCGCAGAAGGAGGGACGGUCAGCCUGUGUCCGUGCACUCGAGCAGCCGAGGAGGUGAGUGUGUCCUGGAGGAGCCGAGGGGGAGGAGACAGAGGCACAGUGAGGGGUGCAGAGGUGAGGACCCCCCACCCCGGGCAGCGGGAGCAGGGCCAGCACGGCGGGCCGGGGCCUGCGGGUCGGGGAGGCGCCCGGGAAACCCUCCGAUUGUUCACCAGUUGGAAGGAACCAGCAGAUACAAGUCAAAGUGGAGGAAUUAAAACAUCGCGGUGCUUAGUGCAGCUGCGAGGGCGGAUGAUGCUGAGGCACGCACACGCACGCACACAUGGCUGCACGGUG